This 701-nucleotide long non-coding RNA is filed under the name Equus caballus (horse). Its description in RNAcentral is "lncRNA (ENSECAG00000053242.1)". Lineage: Eukaryota; Metazoa; Chordata; Mammalia; Perissodactyla; Equidae. The record is from RNAcentral.
CACUGCUGGUGAGAAUGCAAACUAGUUCAGCCACUAUGGAAAACAAUAUGGAGAUUUCUCAAAAAGUUAAAAAUAGAAAUACCAUAUGACCCAGCUAUGCCACUAUUGGAUAUUUAUCCAAAGAACUUGAAAUCAACAAUUCAGAGACUUCUGCACUCCUAUGUUCGUUGCAGCCCUAUUCACUAUAGCCAAGACAUGGAAGCAACCCAAGUGCCCAUUGACUGAUGGUUGGAUAAAGAAGAUGUGGUGUAUAUAUAUAUAUAUAUAUAUAUAUAUAUAUACAAUGGAAUACUACUCAGCCAUGAAAAAGACAAAAUCAUCCCAUUUGCAACAUCAUGGAUCGACCUUUUCUGGAGGCUGAGAAGUCCAAGAUCAUGGUGCCAGCAGAUUUGGUGUCUGGGGAGACACAGCUUCUCCAUUGAUGGCCAUCUCCUCACUGUAACCGGCAUGAUGGACGGGGCAAGGGAGUUUCCUCAGGCCUCUUUGAUGAAGGAAAUGACAGUGCCCAACAAGAACAUAAGCUCCUUGAAGCAAAAACGUAACCAUCUGUCACUGCUGACACUUACAGGAAGCUUCAAAGUCUACUGCACCAACGACAUGUGGGAGUCUUGAGCUGGACUCUGGAAUCACGGAGUUGUCAAUUUCAGGAAGUGGGUGAGACCUGGAGACACGGAGCAACGAACCUGGGUCUGUAUAACGAG